AGUGAACGCUGGCGGUAGGCCUAACACAUGCAAGUCGAACGGCAGCACAGUAAGUGCUUGCUCUUACGGGUGGCGAGUGGCGGACGGUGGAGGAAUACAUCGGAAUCUACUUUUUCGUGGGGGAUAACAUAGGGAAACUUACUCGAAUACCGCAUAUGACCUACGGGUUAAGGCAGGGGAUCGUCUGACCUUGCGCGAUUGAAUGAGCCGAUGUCGGAUUAGCUAGGUGGCUGGGUAAAGGCACACCAAGGCCACGAUCCGUAGCUGGUCUGAGAGGGAGGUCAGCAAGACUGGCAGGGAGAAAGGGCCCAGACUCCUAGGGGAGGACACAGUGGGGAAUAUUGGACAAAGGGCGAAAGCCUGAUACAGCCAUACCGCGUGGGUGCAGAAGGACUUAGGGUUGUAAAGUCAUUUUGUUGGGAAAGAAAAGCAGCACGUUAAUACCGCGCUGUUAUGACGGUACCCAAAGAAUAAGCACCGGCUAACUUCGUG
RNAcentral lists this ribosomal RNA (492 nucleotides) under uncultured bacterium. RNAcentral describes it as "partial 16S ribosomal RNA". It matches the Rfam family "Bacterial small subunit ribosomal RNA", at positions 29 to 507 of the family's 1533-position model. The record is from RNAcentral.